GCUGGGCGUGGUGGCACACGCCUGUAGUCCCAGCUACUUGGGAGGCUGAGGCAGGAGAAUUGCUUGAACCCGGGAGGCAGAGGUUGCAGUGAGCUGAGAUUGCACCACUGCACUCCCGCCUGGGUGACAGAGCAAGAUGCUGUCUCAA
Molecule: non-coding RNA, 148 nt
Filed under: Pan troglodytes (chimpanzee)
Lineage: Eukaryota; Metazoa; Chordata; Mammalia; Primates; Hominidae
Source: Rfam by way of RNAcentral